UACGUAGGUGGCAAGCGUUGUCCGGAAUUAUUGGGCGUAAAGCGCGCGCAGGCGGUCCUUUAAGUCUGAUGUGAAAGCCCACGGCUCAACCGUGGAGGGUCAUUGGAAACUGGGGGACUUGAGUGCAGAAGAGGAAAGCGGAAUUCCACGUGUAGCGGUGAAAUGCGUAGAGAUGUGGAGGAACACCAGUGGCGAAGGCAGCUUUCUGGUCUGUAACUGACGCUGAGGCGCGAAAGCGUGGGGAGCAAACAGG
RNAcentral lists this ribosomal RNA (253 nucleotides) under uncultured bacterium. Its description in RNAcentral is "partial 16S ribosomal RNA". It matches the Rfam family "Bacterial small subunit ribosomal RNA", at positions 524 to 776 of the family's 1533-position model. The record is from RNAcentral.